GCCCAGCUAGCUCAGUUGGUAGAGCAUGAGACUCUUAAUCUCAGGGUUGUGGGUUUGAGCCUCAUGUUGGGCA
RNAcentral lists this transfer RNA (73 nucleotides) under Neotoma lepida (desert woodrat). It matches the Rfam family "tRNA". Rfam says of the family: Transfer RNA (tRNA) molecules are approximately 80 nucleotides in length. Their secondary structure includes four short double-helical elements and three loops (D, anti-codon, and T loops). Further hydrogen bonds mediate the characteristic L-shaped molecular structure. tRNAs have two regions of fundamental functional importance: the anti-codon, which is responsible for specific mRNA codon recognition, and the 3' end, to which the tRNAs corresponding amino acid is attached (by aminoacyl-tRNA synthetases). tRNAs cope with the degeneracy of the genetic code in two manners: having more than one tRNA (with a specific anti-codon) for a particular amino acid; and 'wobble' base-pairing, i.e. permitting non-standard base-pairing at the 3rd anti-codon position. The record is from Rfam by way of RNAcentral. Lineage: Eukaryota; Metazoa; Chordata; Mammalia; Rodentia; Cricetidae.